AACUUUUCAGGAUUUAGAACUAGGCAGUGUUCUUAGAUUUGAUGCCAGAAGCAAAAUCCAUAAAAAGAAAAAUUGAUAAGUUGGAUUCAUCAGAAUGAAAACCUUUUGCUCUGCAAAAGAUCCUAUUAAGAGGAUGAAAAGACAAUCUACAGACUGGGAGAACAGCCUCAGGGGGUCACCUACACCCCACCCCCAACUGCCCGUAGGCCCAGGGAGCUGGAGAGCUUCCCUGCCUGCUUGCAGGCACUCACGGCCCUGUGACACACACACACUCAUCCCCAAUGAAGGUGCACCCCUGACCAGGUGUGGACCCCAGGCCAGGCAGCAAAGAGACAGCUGGCCUGACUUGGGUCCUCAGCCUGGCCCAGCCCCAGCCGCCGGCUUGAGCAAGCCCUUCCCGAGAGGUCAACCUCCCAUCCAGGGCGUGAGGGUUGCAGCCUGAUCCCACCCUGCUGCAUCUGCCCUGUGGAGCCCUCGUCCUUUUUCCCUGGGGUCUCCCUCCCCGCCAGGCCAGGCUCUACCCUCAGGGCCGGAGGCCUCCUGGGGGAGGUUCAUGUCUCACUGGGUGGGGCAGGGCAGAGGCUGCCUCUGGGUCUCCUGAUUCCAGGCAGUCUGGGGCAGGAGGCCCACAGGCCCCUGCACUGGCCUGACAGAAGGCUCGGGCCCGGGGCAGAGGGGUGGGCUGCACCCUGCACUGAUGCUCAGACCAAGCUGAGAGGUGGAGAAGUCAGGGGAUAUGCAAGGUGAUGGGGAGCAGCUACCCAGAGCUGUGGGGUGGAGGCCAUGGGUGCCACUCAGCCCUUGGAGGAGCUGCCUCCCACCACCUGCAGCACCAGAGUGGCCCUGCUGAGCUGCAGGCUUUCUCCCUGCAUCUCCAGCUCACACUGUUGUGUGCUCUGUGCCCCAGGGCCAGCCCCAUAGGAUGUCCCCACCAUGGGUCUGCUCUGCAGCCCUGCGGAUGUCUCACCAGCCUGUAUGGGGUGUGCUCCUGGGGACACCACCUUGGGGCUCCUCCAGGGAGCUGAAAGAGGGCAGGCCUGGGGGACACGAGAUGGACAGGGAGUGGUAGAUCUUCAUGACCUUGGAUAUGGCAAUGGAUUCUUAGAUAUGAUAUCAAAAUCUCAAGUAAGAAUAACAAUAACAACAAAAAACAGAUAAAUUAGACUUCAUCAAAUUUAAAACUUUUGUGCACCAAACAACAUUAUCAAGAAAGUGAAAAGACAACCACAGAAUGGGAGAAAACACCUGCAAAUCAUAUAUCUAAUAAUAGUUUAAUAUCCAGAAUAUAUAAAGAACUUCUAAAACUCGAAAACAAAAGAACAAAACAACCAAAUUUAAAAAUGGGCAGGCUGGGCAUGUAGCUCAUGCUUGUAAUCCCAGCACAUUAGGAGGCCAAGGCAGGCGGGUCCAUUUGAGCUCAGGAGUUUGAGACCAGCCUGGGCAACAUAGUGAUACUCCAUCUCUACAAAAAAUACAAAAAUUAGCCAGGCAUGGUGGCUUAUGCCUGUAAUCCCAGCUACUCUGGAGGCUAAGGCUGGAGGAUGACUUGAGGCUGGGAAUCAGAGGUUGCAGUGAGAUCAUGCCACUGCCCUCCAGACUAGGAGACAGAAUGAGACCCUGUCUCAAAAAAUAAAUAAAAAUAAAAAUAAAAUAAAAUAAAAAUGGGCAAAGGAUUUGAAUAGAUGUUUCUCUGAAGAAGAUGCACAAAUGCCAAUAAGCACAUGAAAAGAUGCUCAACAUCACUAAUCUUUAGAGAAAUGUAAAUUAAAGCCACCAUCACUUCACCUAUUGGCAUGGCUAUAAUCAGAAAAGCUAAAAGUAACAACUGCUGGUGAGGAUGUGGAGAAACUGGAACUCUUGUGCAUUGAUGAUGGAAAUGGAAAGUGGUAUAACUGUUGUGUAAAAUAGUGUGGUCAUUCCUCAAAAAG
Molecule: long non-coding RNA, 1928 nt
Filed under: Homo sapiens (human)
Lineage: Eukaryota; Metazoa; Chordata; Mammalia; Primates; Hominidae
Description: non-protein coding lnc-RET-3:1
Source: RNAcentral